RNAcentral lists this ribosomal RNA (468 nucleotides) under uncultured bacterium. RNAcentral's name for it is "bacterial SSU rRNA". It matches the Rfam family "Bacterial small subunit ribosomal RNA", at positions 28 to 491 of the family's 1533-position model. The record is from RNAcentral.
GAUGAACGCUAGCGGCGGGCUUAACACAUGCAAGUCGAGGGGCAGCACGGGUAGCAAUACCUGGUGGCGACCGGCGCAAGGGUGCGUAACGCGUGAGCAACAUGCCCUAUACAGGGGGAUAAUCCAGGGAAACUUGGUCUAAUAUCCCAUAGUAUUUAGAGGAGGCAUCUUCUAUAAAUUAAAGCUUCGGUGGUAUAGGAUUGGCUCGCGUGACAUUAGCUAGAUGGUGAGGUAACGGCUCACCAUGGCAAUGAUGUCUAGGGGUUCUGAGAGGAAGGCCCCCCACACUGGGACUGAGACACGGCCCAGACUCCUACGGGAGGCAGCAGUGAGGAAUAUUGGACAAUGGAUGGAAAUCUGAUCCAGCCAUGCCGCGUGCAGGAAGACAGCCCUAUGGGUUGUAAACUGCUUUUAUAUGGGAGCAAUAAGGUCUACGUGUAGACUGAUGAGAGUACCAUAUGAAUAAGC